Molecule: ribosomal RNA, 497 nt
Filed under: uncultured bacterium
Lineage: Bacteria
Description: partial 16S ribosomal RNA
Rfam family: Bacterial small subunit ribosomal RNA
Source: RNAcentral
GAUGAACGCUGGCGGCGUGCCUAAUACAUGCAAGUCGAGCGAACAGACGAGGAGCUUGCUCCUCUGACGUUAGCGGCGGACGGGUGAGUAACACGUGGAUAACCUACCUAUAAGACUGGGAUAACUUCGGGAAACCGGAGCUAAUACCGGAUAAUAUAUUGAACCGCAUGGUUCAAUAGUGAAAGACGGUUUUGCUGUCACUUAUAGAUGGAUCCGCGCCGCAUUAGCUAGUUGGUAAGGUAACGGCUUACCAAGGCAACGAUGCGUAGCCGACCUGAGAGGGUGAUCGGCCACACUGGAACUGAGACACGGUCCAGACUCCUACGGGAGGCAGCAGUAGGGAAUCUUCCGCAAUGGGCGAAAGCCUGACGGAGCAACGCCGCGUGAGUGAUGAAGGUCUUCGGAUCGUAAAACUCUGUUAUUAGGGAUGAACAAAUGUGUAAGUAACUAUGCACGUCUUGACGGUACCUAAUCAGAAAGCCACGGCUAACUACGUG